RNAcentral lists this ribosomal RNA (293 nucleotides) under uncultured bacterium. Its description in RNAcentral is "partial 16S ribosomal RNA". It matches the Rfam family "Bacterial small subunit ribosomal RNA", at positions 505 to 796 of the family's 1533-position model. The record is from RNAcentral.
GUGCCAGCCGCCGCGGUAAGACGGAGGGUGCAAACGUUGUUCGGAAUUACUGGGCGUAAAGCGCGUGUAGGCGGUCCGAAAAGUCGGAUGUGAAAUCCCUCGGCUCAACCGAGUGAAUUGCAUUCGAUACUGCCGGACUGGAGUUCGGGAGAGGGACGUGGAAUUCCCGGUGUAGAGGUGAAAUUCGUAGAUAUCGGGAGGAACACCGGUGGCGAAGGCGGCGUCCUGGACCGAUACUGACGCUGAGACGCGAAAGCGUGGGGAGCAAACAGGAUUAGAAACCCCAGUAGUCC